CCCGCUGAACUUAAGCAUAUCAAUAAGCGGAGGAAAAGAAACUAACAAGGAUUCCCCUAGUAACUGCGAGUGAAGCGGGAAAAGCUCAAAUUUAAAAUCUGGUGGUCUUUGGCCAUCCGAGUUGUAAUUUAGAGAAGCGUCUUCCGCGCUGGACCAUGCACAAGUCUCCUGGAAUGGAGCGUCAUAGAGGGUGAGAAUCCCGUCUUUGGCAUGGACCCCAGGGCUUCUGUGAUGCGCUCUCAACGAGUCGAGUUGUUUGGGAAUGCAGCUCUAAAUGGGUGGUAAAUUCCAUCUAAAGCUAAAUACUGGCAAGAGACCGAUAGCGCACAAGUAGAGUGAUCGAAAGAUGAAAAGAUCUCUGAACAGAGAGUUAAAUAGUACGUGAAAUUGUUGAAAGGGAAGCACUUGCUACCAGACACACUUGCAAUUAAUCAACCUCCAUUUUUGGUGGUGCACUUGGUUGUAGGUGGGUCAGCAUCAGUUAUAGCGGUAGGAAAAAGACUGUGGGAAUGUGGCUUCUCCUGGGAAGUGUUAUAGCCCAAAGUGUAAUGCUGCCUGCUGUGACUGAGGACCGCGCUUCGGUGAGGAUGCUGGCAUAAUGGUUGUAAGUGACCCGUCUUGAAACACGG
RNAcentral lists this ribosomal RNA (629 nucleotides) under uncultured fungus. RNAcentral's name for it is "eukaryotic LSU rRNA". It matches the Rfam family "Eukaryotic large subunit ribosomal RNA", at positions 24 to 664 of the family's 3401-position model. The record is from RNAcentral. Lineage: Eukaryota; Fungi.